UGAGAGAGACUGACAGCCUAGGUGUC
This 26-nucleotide non-coding RNA is filed under the name Homo sapiens (human). Lineage: Eukaryota; Metazoa; Chordata; Mammalia; Primates; Hominidae. The record is from RNAcentral.